AACAGUAAGAAACAGGCAGUGUGAUCCAGAAUGACCACCUUUCUCUUGAUCUCGCUCCACCCUUCAGGUCUCAGGAUCCAUACCCAGCAUUUUGUCCCCUGCACUCUGUGCUACAGAGCCAAGGUCCACAUUGCCUGAUACAAGCGGAGUCAAUGCCGGCUGCUGCCACAACAUUCACUGUAGUGAUAUUCUCAGUGUCUUAAGACGGAGCUUCAUUCCUUAAUUUGAAACGUUCCAAGGCAUGGUCGGGUCCCUUUAAUGUGCCAUACAUGUGCGCUAUGGGCAGUUAGCAGAUAAAAAUGGACAAAGCACAAUUAUCUCCAGUGCGGAGAGAGAACAGAACUUUUCAGAGGUUUAAUGACAGCUGGAGCCAGAUAUGUGCCUGCAGACCUUUCCCCCUUUGGCUUCUCAAAGUACCAAGCACUUUAAAGUUAAUGGCACAGUUGCGGAUCAAAGGAAGACAUUUGUCAAGACUCACCAAGAAAGCGCUCCGUACCAUCAACAAGAGCAGAGCUGAUGUUGGGGUCUGGGCUUACCACUUUUCUGGUUAGAACUUAAAUCCUGUACUUGGGCAAGUACUUCACCACGUGGCUUAUCUCCCCCCUCCCCAAAAACUGUUGUUUUGAGACAGGCUUUCCCUAACUAUCCUUAUAGGCCCU
Molecule: long non-coding RNA, 659 nt
Filed under: Rattus norvegicus (Norway rat)
Lineage: Eukaryota; Metazoa; Chordata; Mammalia; Rodentia; Muridae
Description: long non-coding RNA NONRATT033081
Source: RNAcentral